Molecule: ribosomal RNA, 445 nt
Filed under: uncultured bacterium
Lineage: Bacteria
Description: partial 16S ribosomal RNA
Rfam family: Bacterial small subunit ribosomal RNA
Source: RNAcentral
GUGAGGAAUAUUGGACAAUGGGCGCAAGCCUGAUCCAGCCAUGCCGCGUGCAGGAAGACGCAUCUAUGGUGUGUAAACUGCUUUUGUACGGGAAGAAACACUCCCUCGUGAGGGAGCUUGACGGUACCGUAAGAAUAAGGAUCGGCUAACUCCGUGCCAGCAGCCGCGGUAAUACGGAGGAUCCAAGCGGUAUCCGGAAUCAUUGGGUUUAAAGGGUCCGUAGGCGGUUUAAUAAGUCAGUGGUGAAAGCCCAUCGCUCAACGAUGGAACGGCCAUUGAUACUGUUAGACUUGAAUUACAAGGAAGUAACUAGAAUAUGUAGUGUAGCGGUGAAAUGCUUAGAUAUUACAUGGAAUACCAAUUGCGAAGGCAGGUUACUACUUGUGGAUUGACGCUGAUGGACGAAAGCGUGGGGAGCGAACAGGAUUAGAAACCCGAGUAGUCC